Molecule: RNA transcript, 2840 nt
Organism: Hylaeus anthracinus
Lineage: Eukaryota; Metazoa; Arthropoda; Insecta; Hymenoptera; Colletidae
Gene: MICU3
Gene name: calcium uptake protein 3, mitochondrial
Exons: 13
Source: RefSeq, a predicted model, not a curated record
UGCGCGUGAUAGUAAACGUCCGCGUUAAAGAUGGCGACCGUAGCAAGGUUAUUACGACAAGUGUCUUCGUUCUCUCGGCAUUUUCGUGGUGUCACUCAUUCGUACGUCUCGUGGCGUGGUGCUAGUGAUGUGAAAAAAUGGAGAACCGGUGCCGGGGUGAUCGCAGCAGCUUCCAUUGCGCUUCUCGUUGGAUACAAAUACUCGAGACCCAACGUGGUGCACGCCUUGAAGUCACGAAAGCGCGAAGAUGAAACACAAAAGGCAGUGAAGCUAACGAUGAGAGAAAGAAGAUUUAUCAAAUUUGCAUCGGUUGAAUUCGAUGGGCAACUCUACAUGACGCCGCAGGACUUCCUCGACAGUGUUGUUGAACCCGAACCCAGACCGAGGCUGAAGAGACGCGUGUUAGCUGAGAAGGAGCUCGAUGUGAUGAGAAACAGUGUCCCUUCACUGCGUCAAGGAAGUCCACAUAUGUUCAGAAACCUUCGGGACAAAGGGAUCAUUUCUUACACGGAAUAUUUGUUUCUCUUAUCCAUUCUAAUCAAACCCAAGACAGGUUUCCGUAUCGCGUUUAACAUGUUCGACACUGACGGAAACGAGCGCGUGGACAAAACCGAAUUUCUUGUGAUUCGACAGCUGCUCGGCGGAGCCCUGAAGAGACGGCAUAUCGACGAUGAAACGAAACGUCUAUUGAAAAUCAUAAUGGAUCCGUAUGAAAGUUCCAUUAAAAAACCAAAGCUACGUGGCAACCAACGGGAAAACAAGAAAAUGGAGAUUGUUUCUAAUUCUUAUAUGGAGAAAGUCUUUAGUCACGCUUGGAGGGGUCGUCAUGGAACCGAGACAAAAGAAAACACGCAGCUUUUAACUCAAAGGCAAACAACACCGGAAGAGAUCCAAGUCCAAUACAUCGACGACGAUCAGGUCCGUUUUAAGCGGCCGUUCAUUGAAUACGGUUUGCAACGUCGACACGCUGUCGACACAACAUUAACGGUACACUUCUUCGGGAAGGAUGGUAACAACGAGCUGAAGUACGAAGAAUUCAAGUGUUUCAUGGAAAAUUUGCAGCAGGAAGUUCUGGAACUUGAAUUCCACGAAUUUAGCAAAGGACGCGAUACCAUUUCAGAACUGGACUUCGCUAAAAUAUUGUUGCGGUACACCUACCUAAAUAUCGACGAGUACGACAAGUAUUUGGAAAGGAUAGUUCAAAACUCGGAAUAUCAGACCGGUAUCAUGUUCGAGGAAUUUCGACGUUUUUAUCAAUUUCUGAAUAAUAUCGAUGACUUUGCAAUUGCUAUGCGAAUGUACACUCUUGCCGACCAACCGAUAUCCAAAGACGAGUUCCAACGUGCUGUGAAAAUAUGUACGGGAAACGUACUCUCGAAUCAUAUCAUUGACACAGUCUUUGUACUGUUUGACGAAGAUGGCGAUGGCCAGUUAUCGUACAAGGAGUUCAUCGCGAUAAUGAAAGAUCGGCUACACAGAGGAUUCAAGGUACUACUCGAGGAACUAGUUUAUUUUUCUUCUGAACGUGUCAUGGACGAUACCAGGUACCCCUGGUAGACUGCAACCGGCGCAGGACUACUUCAGUGCAUAGCUGGUCAUCAUUAUCCAGGAAACUUAAUAGCAGAGAUGGAUUGUUCCAUUUGCGCACUGAAUUUUAAAGUUUUUACAAUGAUACCAUAAACAAAGUUUGAAAAUGCAAAAUAAUCUAAUCAGAAUUUUAUCGUGGUCAAUGAAACAGUUACUCUUUCUAAUAAGUCGCAACAACGACAAGAGGGCUGGCAAGCGUUCACUUACUGUGUGAAGCAAGAGAUGAAGGCUCGUUAAUUGACAGUAAACGAGUGAGAAGAACCUCAAAGAAAAUGCAAAUAUAAGUGCCAGUGGGACUCUAGUCCAAUUUCAAGUCCUAGUCUCUUUGCUCUAAUUUCAUUGUGAUACAAACAGUUACCAUUAUAUACAACGUAUAAUUCUAGAUCUCUACCGCCAGUUAAUGUUCAUUCGUUUUAUUGCCUUUUGCUAAGUAGGGUAAAAACACCGGUAGUGGAUACCUCAAGACUUCUUUCCUCGAAACAAUUACCAUAUAUCCUUUUGCUUCUAUUUUAAAGUACCAUACCAAAUCGCUGAACCAGUCAGUGACUUGUUUAUAACCUCUCGUGAUUAAGAUUAUGUAAAAAUAUGAUAGAAUAUAGCGUAUCAUUUGUUUUGGAACGUAAACAUUGAUUCAGCAGUCGUGAUAUUAAAAAACCUAAACUUCCAGUAGUCAGCACUUUUUUUUCCAGCACUGGAUACUUCGGGAAAGCGUUAAGACAAUAGACAACGUUGUAUGAUUUUUGUAGAACGAACUCCUUAAUUUUAAGAAUAGAAUUAAGAAGAUAUCUUGUUUAAAAACAUCGGCACGUGAAAGUAUUAAGGAAAUAAGGUACCGUUUUUUUACAUUGUACAAUAUUUACAGAUAGAGUCAGGACCCUGACAGUAGAAAAUAUCAGCUAGAAAAGAUUGUAUUCUGUAAUAUCACUAGUAGUAGCAAUUAUUACAUAUUUUUUACAAAAAGUUAUCCACUACCGACGCACUGUCAAUUACUGGUGCAUUACUUUACCCAUUUAUUACGCUAACUUUUAUGUAAGUUAUACGACGAACUAGUCUCAACAAACGGAUAUUAAUAUCGAAGCCAUGGAUCUUGCCAUUUUGCUAAGAGUUAUCUAAGAGUCUAUCACUUUAUUAAUAAUGUAAAAAGAAAUGUUUAUUCAAUGUUAUAUAAAAUGUAUUUUUGCUUGAAAUAAAAGUUACGAUAAUAAAGGAUCUUAUAUACUGAAAUAUAAAAUAUAAAACUGAAACUUUUUCCU